UACGGAGGGUGCAAGCGUUAAUCGGAAUUACUGGGCGUAAAGGGUGCGUAGGCGGUUAGGUAAGUUAUCUGUGAAAUCCCUGGGCUUAACCUGGGUAGGAAAGAUAAUACUGCAUAACUAGAGUGUGGUAGAGGAUAGUGGAAUUUCCGGUGUAGCGGUGAAAUGCGUAGAGAUCGGAAGGAACACCAGUGGCGAAGGCGGCUAUCUGGACCAACACUGACGCUGAGGCACGAAAGCGUGGGGAGCAAACAGG
RNAcentral lists this ribosomal RNA (253 nucleotides) under uncultured bacterium. Its description in RNAcentral is "partial 16S ribosomal RNA". It matches the Rfam family "Bacterial small subunit ribosomal RNA", at positions 524 to 776 of the family's 1533-position model. The record is from RNAcentral.